RNAcentral lists this ribosomal RNA (920 nucleotides) under uncultured Bacillota bacterium. RNAcentral's name for it is "bacterial SSU rRNA". It matches the Rfam family "Bacterial small subunit ribosomal RNA", at positions 1 to 917 of the family's 1533-position model. The record is from RNAcentral. Lineage: Bacteria; Bacillati; Bacillota.
UGGAUCCACACUUUGAUCAUGGCUCAGGACGAACGCUGGCGGCGUGCCUAACACAUGCAAGUCGAACGAAGCUUGACGAAUGAUUUCUUCGGAAUGAAUUCUGAUAUGACUUAGUGGCGGACGGGUGAGUAACACGUGAGCAACCUGCCUUUCAGAGAGGGAUAACGGCUGGAAACGGUCGCUAAUACCUCAUAACAUAUAUUUAAGGCAUCUUAGAUAUAUCAAAGAUUUAUCGCUGAAAGAUGGGCUCGCGUCUGAUUAGAUAGUUGGUGAGGUAACGGCUCACCAAGUCGACGAUCAGUAGCCGGACUGAGAGGUUGAACGGCCACAUUGGGACUGAGACACGGCCCAGACUCCUACGGGAGGCAGCAGUGGGGAAUAUUGCACAAUGGGCGCAAGCCUGAUGCAGCAACGCCGCGUGAGGGAAGACGGUUUUCGGAUUGUAAACCUUUGUCUUUGGUGAAGAAGAAAGUGACGGUAGCCAAGGAGGAAGCCACGGCUAACUACGUGCCAGCAGCCGCGGUAAUACGUAGGUGGCAAGCGUUGUCCGGAAUUACUGGGUGUAAAGGGAGCGCAGGCGGGACUGCAAGUUGGAUGUGAAAUACCGAGGCUCAACCUCGGAGCUGCAUCCAAAACUGUAGUUCUUGAGUGAAGUAGAGGUAGGCGGAAUUCCGAGUGUAGCGGUGAAAUGCGUAGAUAUUCGGAGGAACACCAGUGGCGAAGGCGGCCUACUGGGCUUUAACUGACGCUGAGGCUCGAAAGUGUGGGGAGCAAACAGGAUUAGAUACCCUGGUAGUCCACACUGUAAACGAUGAUAGCUAGGUGUGGGGGGUCUGACCCCUUCCGUGCCGGAGUUAACGCAAUAAGCUAUCCACCUGGGGAGUACGGCCGCAAGGUUGCAACUCAAAGGAAUUGACGGA